ACCAGCUCUGUUGGGACAAGAGAAUGGUCUUGUUUUGGAAGGAAGACUGUCGUUUUGUCCCAAGAGAGCUGGU
RNAcentral lists this microRNA precursor (73 nucleotides) under Chlorocebus sabaeus (green monkey). RNAcentral describes it as "mir-3122 microRNA precursor family". It matches the Rfam family "mir-3122 microRNA precursor family". The record is from Rfam by way of RNAcentral. Lineage: Eukaryota; Metazoa; Chordata; Mammalia; Primates; Cercopithecidae.